This is a long non-coding RNA of Mirounga angustirostris (Northern elephant seal), 2031 nucleotides long. RefSeq lists it as uncharacterized. NCBI's taxonomy places the organism in Eukaryota, Metazoa, Chordata, Mammalia, Carnivora, Phocidae. The record is from RefSeq and is a predicted model, not a curated record. The transcript has 5 exons.
CCUUGCCUUUUCAGCAAGUCCCGUCGGUGAUAUAAGGGAAUGCUCGAGAUGGAGUUUCCAUGCAGCCCCCCUGGUCUCAGGAGCCGCUCACUGGUUUCACACAGGAAUGCUGCUUACAGAACUUUAGAAAAAAGUGUUCCAGGGACAGAGGUUCCAAAAGGGAACAUUUCCAAGCUGAUUUGCUCAUGGAAGUCACUUCUUGCAGAGCACCAUGGGACAAGUGUUCUAGAGUCAACAUUUGGGAACCAGCGGUGCGGUCAGAGGCUGCCUGCUUCCCUGUCAGGCUCUGGCCACCCGGGGACGGCCAGCACCAGAAUCAUCUUCGCCCCACUCCAGGCCUCCUGAGCCACAAUCUUGGGCCCAUGGCCUGGACAUCUGCAUUUUUCCAAGCUCUCCCAGUGUUCAUUCAUUGGAUGUUCCAAAUAACGCUGUGAUGGGAGUGCUGGUAUCAUCACCCCUUUCUGGAUGGGCUGGCGGAGGCACAGAGGAAUUGGAUAACACCCCUAAGGUGCCAGAGCUGGAAGACUGUGCCUCUGACAGCUGCUGUUCCAAGGGGAAUAUGGAGUCCUGUGGAGCAAAUGUGAAUUCAGCUCGAACCUGGAGCCAAGCCCAGCUGCCCUCAGCCAAAGCACAGACAGUCUGAAAAACAGGACCUGAUCCUCUUCGGUGACACAGACAGUAAGAUGGAGGUUUCGGCUCCUACUGGUGACCAUGUUUCCAGCCAUGAGGAAGAAACUAGUCUACAAUGAAUGACAAUGAAGUCUCCUUUAAAGAAAUGGUGUUGUGGUGACAUUUGAAUUUCUGGUUCUGUUGAACCUCAAGCCUAGCUACCUCCCUGCACUUCUCCUCCUUUAGGUGUGCAACUUUUCUUGGAAUGACAUGAUAUAUCCCUGUAGCUUCCUAAAAAUUCCCUUUUCUGCCUAAGCUAGCAUUGGGAAAGAGUCACUUGCAAGGGAAAGAGUCCUAGCUAAUUGUUAAGAACGUUAAAUAGUGGAACAUACAUCCUGACACAGGGUAUUGAAUUGCUCUAUUGAAUUGAAGUGUUAAGUUAGGUUUCUAGGUUCCACAAGUCAACAGAGGCAUAAAAUUUGGCUGAAAGCAAGCUGGUCAACCUGGUGAUCGGGGUUGAAAAUAAACAUCACCAGGUAGUGAUUUUUUUUGAGAAUUACUAGUUUUUUUUCUUUUGGUGUAUUGCUAGGCAGUUUGGCAACCUCCUCAUAUGUCUAUUUUUUGGAUGCUUUUGUUUUCUAAAUUUCCUCUUUAAAAGUUUAAAUAUUUGCUUUUAGAAAUUCAAGUCAGUUUUCCUCUAGGCCGCUCAUAGUAGCAAAAAGUUGGAGCAAUCUUAAUACAUAAUAAUAAGGGAUGAGUUAGAACAAACUAUCCAUCCCCAAGAGGGCCACAGUUGGAAACACAAAUGUCUAAAAAUAUGUUGUGAAAACAUAACUGACCAUUAAGAUUAUUUUAUACUUUUAUGUUCAAUUUUCUUUUAUUUUCUUAUGAGAAAGUCAACUUAUGGAAUGUCAGAAAAUAAAAGCAAACAGAAGAAAAAUUUAAUGCAUUUUGAUAGUCACACUCACCUGGGGACAACCAAAGUUACCACCUUGGUGUAUUUUCGAUUAGAAACUUUUACAUUACAUAUGCACAUAUAUUCUCACAUUUCUUCACUUAUAACAUCUUUUAUUUCCUAUAAAAAUGAAACUAUAGCACACGUGCUUUAAAAAAACUUUAGGGGGUAUGAUUUACAUACAAUAACAUACAUUCGAUUUAAGUGUGUAUUUUAUUAGUUUUGACAAAUUCAUACAUCCUUAUAACCAUAAUAAAUAUAUAGAACAUAUCCAUCAUCCCAAAGUUCCUUUGGGCCUUUACCUAGCCGGUCUCUGCCUUGCCCUGGGCUGUAAGCAAACCAUGACCUGCUUUCUGUCACUGUAGAUAGGAUUUUUUUCUCUGAUGGUUCACAUUAAUGGAAUUAUACAGUAUGAAUUCUUUUGUGUCUGACUUCUUUCACUCAACAGGCUUUGAGAUUCAUCCAUG